GUAGGGUGCGAGCGUUAAUCGGAAUUACUGGGCGUAAAGCGUGCGCAGGCGGUUCGCUAAGACCGAUGUGAAAUCCCCGGGCUUAACCUGGGAACUGCAUUGGUGACUGGCGGGCUAGAGUAUGGCAGAGGGGGGUAGAAUUCCACGUGUAGCAGUGAAAUGCGUAGAGAUGUGGAGGAAUACCGAUGGCGAAGGCAGCCCCCUGGGCCAAUACUGACGCUCAUGCACGAAAGCGUGGGGGGGAGCAAACAGGAUUAGAUACCCUGGUAGUCCACGCCCUAAACGAUGUCAACUAGUUGUCGGGUCUUCAUUGACUUGGUAACGUAGCUAACGCGUGAAGUUGACCGCCCUGGGAGUACGGUCGCAAGAUUA
RNAcentral lists this ribosomal RNA (372 nucleotides) under uncultured organism. RNAcentral's name for it is "partial 16S ribosomal RNA". It matches the Rfam family "Bacterial small subunit ribosomal RNA", at positions 527 to 896 of the family's 1533-position model. The record is from RNAcentral.